RNAcentral lists this ribosomal RNA (461 nucleotides) under uncultured Bacillota bacterium. Its description in RNAcentral is "bacterial SSU rRNA". It matches the Rfam family "Bacterial small subunit ribosomal RNA", at positions 920 to 1382 of the family's 1533-position model. Lineage: Bacteria; Bacillati; Bacillota. The record is from RNAcentral.
CCCGCACAAGCGGUGGAGUAUGUUGUUUAAUUCGAAGAUACACGAAGAACCUUUACCAGGUCUUGACAUACCAUUGACAGGCGCAGAGAUGUGCUCUUCUUCGGGACAAUGGAUACAGGUGGUGCAUGGUUGUCGUCAGCUCGUGCCGUGAGGUGUUGGGUUAAGUCCCGCAACGAGCGCAACCCCUAUUGCUAGUUACUAACAUUGAGUUGAGGACUCUAGUGAGACUGCCAGUGACAAACUGGAGGAAGGUGGGGAUGACGUCAAAUCAUCAUGCCCUUUAUGACCUGGGCUACAAACGUACUACAAUGGCCAAUACAAAGAGGUGCGAAGUUGUGAGAUGGAGCGAACCUCAAAAAAAUGGUCUCAGUUCAGAUUGAAGUCUGCAACUCGACUUCAUGAAGGCGGAAUCGCUAGUAAUCGCGGGUCAGCAGACCGCGGUGAAUACGUUCCCGGGCCUU